This 468-nucleotide ribosomal RNA is filed under the name uncultured soil bacterium. RNAcentral's name for it is "bacterial SSU rRNA". It matches the Rfam family "Bacterial small subunit ribosomal RNA", at positions 26 to 491 of the family's 1533-position model. The record is from RNAcentral.
AGAUUGAACGCUGGCGGCAUGCCUUACACAUGCAAGUCGAACGGUAGAGUAGCAAUACUUGAGAGUGGCGAACGGGUGAGUAAUAUAUCGGAACGUGCCCAGUCGUGGGGGAUAACGUAGAGAAAUUUACGCUAAUACCGCAUACGAUCUAAGGAUGAAAGCGGGGGACCGUAAGGCCUCGCGCGAUUGGAGCGGCUGAUAUCAGAUUAGGUUGUUGGUGAGGUAAAAGCUCACCAAGCCGACGAUCUGUAGCUGGUUUGAGAGAACGACCAGCCACACUGGGACUGAGACACGGCCCAGACUCCUACGGGAGGCAGCAGUGGGGAAUUUUGGACAAUGGGCGAAAGCCUGAUCCAGCAAUGCCGCGUGCAGGAAGAAGGCCUUCGGGUUGUAAACUGUCUUUUGUACGGAACGAAACGGUCUGUCCUUUAAUACAGUGGUCUAAGUGACGGUACCGUAAGGAAUUAA